GACUUGGUGUGGUUGUUGCUGGCCCUCUCGGGGGCAUGUGCACACCCAUCAUCCUCAUCUCUCCACCUGUGCACCUCUUGUAGACCUGGAUUGACUUUCCGAGGCAACUCGGUCGGGAAGAUUGCUGCGCUCUGUGAGCCAGCUUUCUUUGCAUGUCCAGGACUAUGUUUUUCAUAUACCCCUAUAGAAUGUAACAGAAUGUAUCAUUGGGCCUUGUGCCUAUAAACCUUAUACAACUUUCAGCAACGGAUCUCUUGGCUCUCGCAUCGAUGAAGAACGCAGCGAAAUGCGAUAAGUAAUGUGAAUUGCAGAAUUCAGUGAAUCAUCGAAUCUUUGAACGCACCUUGCGCUCCUUGGUAUUCCGAGGAGCAUGCCUGUUUGAGUGUCAUUAAAUUCUCAACCUUAUUAGCUUUUGUUGAUAAUGGAUUGGAUGUGGGGGUUUAUUUUGCUGGCUUCUUCACAGAGAUCAGCUCCCCUUAAAUGCAUUAGCUGGUGACCCGCGUGGACCAUCUAUUGGUGUGAUAAUUAUCUACGCCGUGGAUGUCUGCAAUCAUAUGGGUUUUGCACUGCUUCUAACCGUCUGUUCAUUCGGACAAUACAUGACAAUUUGACCUCAAAUCAGGUAGGACUACCCGCUGAACUUAAGCAUAUCAAUAA
This 657-nucleotide ribosomal RNA is filed under the name Alnicola badia. RNAcentral's name for it is "eukaryotic LSU rRNA". The stretch from base 235 to 388 matches the Rfam family "5.8S ribosomal RNA". The record is from RNAcentral. Lineage: Eukaryota; Fungi; Basidiomycota; Agaricomycetes; Agaricales; Hymenogastraceae.